This 468-nucleotide ribosomal RNA is filed under the name uncultured bacterium. Its description in RNAcentral is "partial 16S ribosomal RNA". It matches the Rfam family "Bacterial small subunit ribosomal RNA", at positions 28 to 507 of the family's 1533-position model. The record is from RNAcentral.
GACGAACGCUGGCGGCGUGCUUAACACAUGCAAGUCGAACGGAAAGGCCCUGCUUGUGUGGGGUGCUCGAGGGGCGAACGGGGGAGUAACACGUGAGUAACGUGCCCUUGACUUUGGGGUAACUUCAGGAAACUGGGGCUAAUACCAUAUAGGAUCUCCUGCUGCGUGGUGGGGGUUGGAAAGUUUCGGCGGUUGGGGAUGGACUCGCGGCUUAUCAGCUUGUUGGUGGGGUAGUGGCUUACCAAGGCUUUGACGGGUAGCCGGCCUGAGAGGGUGACCGGCCACAUUGGGACUGAGAUACGGCCCAGACUCCUACGGGAGGCAGCAGUGGGGAAUAUUGCACAAUGGGCGGAAGCCUGAUGCAGCAACGCCGCGUGCGGGAUGACGGCCUUCGGGUUGUAAACCGCUUUCGCCUGUGACGAAGCGUGAGUGACGGUAAUGGGUAAAGAAGCACCGGCUAACUACGUG